Episyrphus balteatus (marmalade hoverfly) is the source of this 363-nucleotide long non-coding RNA. RefSeq lists it as uncharacterized. The transcript has 2 exons. The record is from RefSeq and is a predicted model, not a curated record. NCBI's taxonomy places the organism in Eukaryota, Metazoa, Arthropoda, Insecta, Diptera, Syrphidae.
GCAUUGGUAUAUGGCGGCAACUCUAUCACAUUUUGCUCAUCUCGACAGUAUCUUAUCCAUAGACAUUUUUUUUUAAAUCGAUGAGUUAAGAUCGCUUAGUGGCGGGAUCUUGGGCCAAAACAAGAACAAAUUUAGCCUCAGCCUCAAAGAACUUGCUGGUCUAGACUAAACCGAAAAAAAAAACUUAAAAACGAAAACUCACCUUUUGGGCUGCUUGGAAUAAAAUCUAAAGUUCUAUCCUUGCAUCUUAAAUCUUGACCAGUGCCAUCAAUCCAAACGUAUGUGGCUUGAACGAUAUUCUCUUUAACUGGCAAAUCGAUGUAACGUUGCAAGAUGCUUUUGUCAAUGUGAGCAUUUGGUGAU